Molecule: transfer RNA, 67 nt
Filed under: Sergia lucens
Lineage: Eukaryota; Metazoa; Arthropoda; Malacostraca; Decapoda; Sergestidae
Also listed under: 1 other name
Description: tRNA-His
Rfam family: tRNA
About the family: Transfer RNA (tRNA) molecules are approximately 80 nucleotides in length. Their secondary structure includes four short double-helical elements and three loops (D, anti-codon, and T loops).
Source: RNAcentral
GUUUAAAUAGUUUAACAAAAACAUCGGUUUGUGGAGCCGAAGAUAUGAUUAAAUUUCAUUUUAGACC